This 223-nucleotide ribosomal RNA is filed under the name uncultured bacterium. RNAcentral's name for it is "partial 16S ribosomal RNA". It matches the Rfam family "Bacterial small subunit ribosomal RNA", at positions 111 to 334 of the family's 1533-position model. The record is from RNAcentral.
UAACGCGUGAGUAACCUGCCUCUAAGAGGGGGAUAACAUUCUGAAAAGAAUGCUAAUACCGCAUAACAUAUAUUUAUCGCAUGGUAGAUAUAUCAAAGAUUUAUCGCUUAGAGAUGGACUCGCGUCCGAUUAGUUAGUUGGUGAGGUAACGGCUCACCAAGACUGCGAUCGGUAGCCGGACUGAGAGGUUGAACGGCCACAUUGGGACUGAGACACGGCCCAG